CUCGCCUAUUCCUGCGUUUACUCGUGUUUGUACUUGUUGGUUUAUUUUCUUCGCAUUUUUGUAGAGGACUAGGCAGCCGAGCUGGACCAAAGUCACCAGGGUAGUAAAGACCCGGCCCACCACCCAAAAAAUGGCCAAUUUCUUUCAAAUGCUGUAUACUGGAAAAAUCCAAAGGACUCAUCAGAUGAACAAAUUUCAAAGAGCCACUACCAGUUUAUUUUCUUAAGCAAAGCAUCAAGCCUCUGAUUUGCCGCUGAUAAAUUCUCUUGAGGGCACAGCAAGAAGGUGGCUGUCUGCAACUCGUUAGAGAGCCCUCAGCGAACCCAACCAUGCUGGCACCACCCUGAUCUCAAACUCCCAGCCUCCUGAAAUGCCAGAAAAUAAAUGUGAGUUGUUUAAGCCACCCAGUCUAAGCUAUUUUGUUAUGACAGCCCGGU
This is a long non-coding RNA of Callithrix jacchus (white-tufted-ear marmoset), 437 nucleotides long. RefSeq lists it as uncharacterized. The record is from RefSeq and is a predicted model, not a curated record. NCBI's taxonomy places the organism in Eukaryota, Metazoa, Chordata, Mammalia, Primates, Cebidae.